Molecule: ribosomal RNA, 484 nt
Filed under: uncultured bacterium
Lineage: Bacteria
Description: partial 16S ribosomal RNA
Rfam family: Bacterial small subunit ribosomal RNA
Source: RNAcentral
AUUGAACGCUGGCGGCAGGCCUAACACAUGCAAGUCGAGCGGAUGAAGGGAGCUUGCUCCUGGAUUCAGCGGCGGACGGGUGAGUAAUUCCUAGGAAUCUGCCUGGUAGUGGGGGAUAACGUCCGGAAACGGGCGCUAAUACCGCAUACGUCCUGAGGGAGAAAGUGGGGGAUCUUCGGACCUCACGCUAUCAGAUGAGCCUAGGUCGGAUUAGCUAGUUGGUGGGGUAAAGGCCUACCAAGGCGACGAUCCGUAGCUGGUCUGAGAGGAUGAUCAGUCACACUGGAACUGAGACCCGGUCCAGACUCCUACGGGAGGCAGCAGUGGGGAAUAUUGGACAAUGGGCGAAAGCCUGAUCCAGCCAUGCCGCGUGUGUGAAGAAGGUCUUCGGAUUGUAAAGCACUUUAAGUUGGGAGGAAGGGCAGUAAGUUAAUACCUUGCUGUUUUGACGUUACCAACAGAAUAAGCACCGGCUAACUUCGUG